GACGAGGUGCACAAACGUUAUUCGGAAUUACUGGGCUUAAAGCGUGCGUAGGCGGCCUAGCAAGUCGGGUGUGAAAGCCCUCGGCUCAACCGAGGAAUUGCGCCCGAAACUGCUGGGCUUGAGUGAGACAGAGGUGAGCGGAACUGAUGGUGGAGCGGUGAAAUGCGUUGAUAUCAUCAGGAACACCGGUGGCGAAGGCGGCUCACUGGGUCUCUACUGACGCUGAGGUGCGAAAGCGUGGGGAGCAAACAGG
This 253-nucleotide ribosomal RNA is filed under the name uncultured bacterium. Its description in RNAcentral is "partial 16S ribosomal RNA". It matches the Rfam family "Bacterial small subunit ribosomal RNA", at positions 524 to 776 of the family's 1533-position model. The record is from RNAcentral.